RNAcentral lists this transfer RNA (74 nucleotides) under Caudoviricetes sp. RNAcentral describes it as "tRNA-Pro". It matches the Rfam family "tRNA". From Rfam's summary of the family: Transfer RNA (tRNA) molecules are approximately 80 nucleotides in length. Their secondary structure includes four short double-helical elements and three loops (D, anti-codon, and T loops). Lineage: Duplodnaviria; Heunggongvirae; Uroviricota; Caudoviricetes. The record is from RNAcentral.
CUGGAUAUAGUUCAGUUUGGUAGAACGCUUGAUUUGGGAUCAAGAGGUCACAGGUUCAAGUCCUGUUAUUCAGA